ACCUUUUUAGUAUAAUAGUUGUAUGGGCGGUUUCCAUUUGCCAGGUUGUUGGGGUA
RNAcentral lists this transfer RNA (56 nucleotides) under Polyacanthorhynchus caballeroi. RNAcentral's name for it is "tRNA-Gly". The record is from RNAcentral. Lineage: Eukaryota; Metazoa; Acanthocephala; Polyacanthocephala; Polyacanthorhynchidae.